Molecule: long non-coding RNA, 605 nt
Filed under: Equus caballus (horse)
Lineage: Eukaryota; Metazoa; Chordata; Mammalia; Perissodactyla; Equidae
Description: lncRNA (ENSECAG00000052122.1)
Source: RNAcentral
CUCUUCUCUCUUCAAUUUCUUUCUCACCAAGUGUUUUUUCCUUUGGCAAUUUAAAUCUCUUCCAUCUAAAAAACAAAAAAACCUCAUUCUUGACAUUGUAUCUCCCUCUAGAUUCUACCAUACAGAGUUGUCUAUGAGAAUCUAAAUAAAGAAGCUUGGUGUUUAGCCAUUAAGUGGGAAAGAGCAAGGCCCUUCACUGGAGCUGAGGAAGGCACAACAGUGAGCAGAAACCAACUGGCCCCUGAUCUCAAGGAAUUCACAGCCCGGUAGGGAGGAGGACGUUAAUCCAAGGGUCUCACAAGUAAAUGCACAGUGCAGCUGUGAGAUGUGCUAAGGAGGCCAGGGUCUGAUGCUAGGAGAGUGUGCAUUGGAGCAAUUUGGUAUAGUCUGGGAGGUCGGGGAAGGAAUGCUUAAGUCAAGAGGGGGAACAGCAUGUGCAAAUGCCCUGGACUGUGUCCAGUAUCAAGAACUUGGCCAGUGAGGCUGAGCAGAGCCAGGAGGCUAGGGCCAUGGCAGAAUUGACCGGAGAGGCAACAAGUGCCAGACCACAUGGCUUUUACAAAAUUUGGUACCCACGUGCCACCCAAAAAGAUUUUGAUUCAGUU